UACAGAGGGGGCAAGCGUUGUUCGGAAUUACUGGGCGUAAAGGGCGCGUAGGCGGCCUGCUAAGUCGAACGUGAAAUCCCUGGGCUCAACCCAGGAACUGCGUCCGAUACUGGUUGGCUUGAAUCCGGGAGAGGGAUGUGGAAUUCCAGGUGUAGCGGUGAAAUGCGUAGAUAUCUGGAGGAACACCGGUGGCGAAGGCGGCCAACUGGUCCGACACUGACGCUGAGGUGCGAAAGCGUGGGGAGCAAACAGG
This 253-nucleotide ribosomal RNA is filed under the name uncultured bacterium. RNAcentral's name for it is "partial 16S ribosomal RNA". It matches the Rfam family "Bacterial small subunit ribosomal RNA", at positions 524 to 776 of the family's 1533-position model. The record is from RNAcentral.